Molecule: RNA transcript, 2265 nt
Organism: Aegilops tauschii subsp. strangulata
Lineage: Eukaryota; Viridiplantae; Streptophyta; Magnoliopsida; Poales; Poaceae
Source: RefSeq, a predicted model, not a curated record
AUUCGCGUCGCCUCCCCACCCCCACCCCACCUGCUCCUCCUCCCUGUGUCGCAACCCUCGUCCCUUCCUCUCCUCCCUCCCUCCCUCCCAUGGCGGAGUCGCCCGAGAACGCCGCCGCGGCGCCCGCGCCCGCGCCACCCGCCGCUCCCUCCCCGGCGCCGGCGCCGGCAAUGAAGUCGUCCCCGCCCACCAGGUUCGGGAUCCCGCUGCGGUACGACCUCGAUGCCAAGUGGGACGCCUGCCUCGACCUCUCCAUCCGCCGCGUCGCCUACUCCUCCCUCGGCGGCGCCUUCGGAGGCCUCAUUCUCUUCCGUAAGCCGCCAACCCCCUCCGCCUCACCUCUCCAUUCCCCUCGCUGCAUCACCAGAUCUGUUCGCCGCGCCUCCGUGGGUAUCUCAUGAUCUAGGGUUGGCGAAAAUAAUGCUCGUGUUCCAUCUCGAUUUGGCCUAAUCUGAUGAGGGAUUCCCUAGCUGCGUAGGUAGGGCGCGCUCCUCUAGCCGAAAACAUUUGGGAACGUUACUAAUGCGUAUGCCCUGCUUUAGGGUGCUGCAGAUUGAUUGUUUCCUGCGCGAUUGGGGCCCCAAAUUUGCGUCGAGUGCUCUGAGAUUCCGAUGAUUGUAAGGGAAAAAACGCUUAUGUUUUAUUUCCUGUAUGUUUGUAUUCUGCAGAGGCCAGAGUCUCAUUUCAAUUGAUUCGUCAGCCAGUGUAUGAAUAGCAGGACGUGCUUGAAUUGGGCUAGGCUAUGUGAUGGCUUUGACUAUUAGGCAGGGAAACUGUUUGUGAUUUUAUUGGUGUGAACAAUGCUUUCCUGGUGUUAGUCAUGCUCUCGGAAUGGUUAUGGUGAAUCAUGGUUCUGAAAAUAAUUCAGUCUUACCAUCAUUUCCUCGUGUCUGGUAUUUUUUUUAGAGAAAGAACAACGCUUUGUCUGAUUGGGAUUGUGGUCUGUGGGGGACUUAAAUACUGAUCUGUUUUUCAAAAUUACCGCGUGUUUCCUAUUAGAUCUGCACGAUGCUCAUUUUUAGAGUAACACGGCAAGAUGCAUAUGAUAUGUUUUUUUAUAUGAUUGAUAGUGAGCUGGCGGACCUACUGAUUCCUGAGUUCGGUCUUGAUGCUGUUUCAUUCCAAGUGUUAAGCAGGAAUUGAUAGGGUUGUGGUAUGAUUUUUAUUGAUCUUUGAUAGUGUGAAUUUGUGAAAUGCUGGUUUCGCUUAAAUCAUCAUCAAACUCGCCACCUUAGUUCUGUUCUAACAGUGACGCAAACUGCUUACACCAUAUAGGCUGCAGUAUGUGGAGUCCUAAGUCAGUUUCAUUCACGAACUUUAGGGGCUUGUCCAUUGAGGUCUUGUGUGAUGCUUGUUAUCAGCUAAUCUCAAACUGUUUCCAUGUAUCCUAUUCUGUUGAAUAACUUGGAGUCCUUUUAUUUGUAUCUAGAAUGAGUUUGAUUUCACAAGUUCUAUAAAGUAACCAAUGCAACUUGUUACUGUGUAUCUGAUGUUGGUAAGGGAACUAUUAAAAAAGUUCUUUGGCUAUGUGAAUUGUCUGUUUUCCACCUGAUAAUCCAUAAUUAUUAGUUUGCCCACCAAUUAUUCAUGCAUUUUUCUUGAAUGUUCUCAAAUUUUAUAAUCUUAUUUACUUGUUAAUUAUUCAGAGUUGGCAUAUGCUGAAAGAAACACUUUGAGAAGAACUCAAAUUUACACUUCGUGAAGUAACUGUCACUAAAUCUAUGGUCUAAUGCAUGUUUGUGACUUGUGUUAUUUUAUACAGGUAGCCCAACAACCCGCUGGGCAUCAGUUGCACUUGGAGCUGGUGUGGGGAUAGGGGCUGCGUUCACUGAAUGCUCAUACAUAUUCAAUGGUUCUCCUCCAAACUGGUCGGCCCCUGAAUGCUCAUACAUAUUCAAUGGUUCUCCUCCAAAGUGGGGAAAGCCAUGUGCUUGACGCCACCUGAUGCGUGCGUUUUGUGCUCCUAUCUGCUUGUCAAGCAGAAAUCUGCUGUUGUGAGAGGAGGACGACGAGGCGAGUGGCUGCUCCGACCCUGCUACUGCCCACACGAUAGAAGGAGAAUGAGAUGUUGAAGCGGCAGACGGAAUCCAUGACACCGAAGUGCAAUUGCAGCAGAUUAUCUCUAUUUUUCCUGUUCAUUUUUCUUAUUAUUGGAGUGAGAACAGGUAGAAUGAGGAACUGUGUGAUAGUAGAUACAACAACUGUAGUAAAAAGAAACUUAUGUUUGCAAUUGUUAAUGACAUACAUACUUGCAUGUUCUUUGAA